This 71-nucleotide transfer RNA is filed under the name Cladonia metacorallifera KoLRI002260. RNAcentral describes it as "tRNA-Ile (AAT) (tRNA-Ile-AAT-2-1)". It matches the Rfam family "tRNA". Rfam says of the family: Transfer RNA (tRNA) molecules are approximately 80 nucleotides in length. The record is from RNAcentral. Lineage: Eukaryota; Fungi; Ascomycota; Lecanoromycetes; Lecanorales; Cladoniaceae.
GCCCAGAUGGUUCAAUGGUAGAACGUCAGGGAAAUGACCUGAAGAUUGUGGUUCGAAUCCAUGUCUGGGCA